UCCGAUAUGGUGUAGUGGCCAACAUGAUGCCCUCUCAUGAGCUCCCGUGAGUGAGAGGUUAGGCAUAGCCCCGAGUUCGAUUCUCGGUUUCGGAA
This 95-nucleotide transfer RNA is filed under the name Colletotrichum lupini. Its description in RNAcentral is "tRNA-Glu". It matches the Rfam family "tRNA". Rfam says of the family: Transfer RNA (tRNA) molecules are approximately 80 nucleotides in length. Lineage: Eukaryota; Fungi; Ascomycota; Sordariomycetes; Glomerellales; Glomerellaceae. The record is from RNAcentral.